This 254-nucleotide ribosomal RNA is filed under the name uncultured bacterium. RNAcentral describes it as "partial 16S ribosomal RNA". It matches the Rfam family "Bacterial small subunit ribosomal RNA", at positions 524 to 776 of the family's 1533-position model. The record is from RNAcentral.
UACGUAGGGGGCUAGCGUUGUCCGGAAUUACUGGGCGUAAAGGGCUCGUAGGCGGCCAACUAAGUCGGAUGUGAAAUCCCCAGGCUUAACCUGGGAACUGCAUCCGAUACUGGAUGGCUUGAAUCCGGGAGAGGGAUGCAGAAUUCCAGGUGUAGCGGUGAAAUGCGUAGAUAUCUGGAGGAAUACCGGUGGCGAAGGCGGCAUCCUGGACCGGCAUUGACGCUGAGUGAGCGAAAGCCAGGGGAGCAAACGGG